UAUUAUGCGAAAAAUCAAUUCCAAAAAGGAAAUACAUCCCAUCAAAUAUAAUUAAGCCAAGCGAAAUACUGAUGGAUAGGGGAUUAAAAGUACCACAUUAGAUGUAUGGGUAUGAACUUUCUGUAGUGUUGGUUGAUUUCUAUUCUUGCUCAUUUCCCAAUGGAGUUCAUAUCGGUUCUUAAAGAGUUAGAGCUCGGCUAACUAUGUUUAUCAACAAAAUAGGGAGUUUUGAUGCAGCAACAUUGGAUUAUUAGACUGCUUCUAAUGAAACAAUUCCUCCUUUGGUUUCCAGUGUAAUGUCGCAAUCCAAAUCAAGGUUAAAUAUACUCAUUACUAUAUUCUUAAUAUUUACAGCUUUGCCUUUCCAGCUGCUAGUUCCUAAUGCACUCAUAUACGACAUAAUUGAAAAUGCCAAUUGUUUGAUUUUAUAAAUGAAGAGAAAUACAUUUCUGUGUCCAUUAGAGUAAUUUCUCAAUUGAAAUAUAUCACUAUUUUACUUGUUUAUUUAUUCAUUC
Molecule: non-coding RNA, 515 nt
Organism: Schizosaccharomyces pombe (fission yeast)
Lineage: Eukaryota; Fungi; Ascomycota; Schizosaccharomycetes; Schizosaccharomycetales; Schizosaccharomycetaceae
Source: the annotation of a GenBank genome assembly